GAUGAACGCUGGCGGCGUGCUUAACACAUGCAAGUCGAACGGUGAAGCAGGAGCUUGCUCUUGUGGAUCAGUGGCGAACGGGUGAGUAACACGUGAGCAACCUGCCCCUGACUCUGGGAUAAGCGCUGGAAACGGCGUCUAAUACUGGAUAUGUGAUGUGACCGCAUGGUCUGCAUCUGGAAAGAAUUUCGGUUGGGGAUGGGCUCGCGGCCUGUCAGCUUGUUGGUGAGGUAAUGGCUCACCAAGGCGCCGACGGGUAGCCGGCCUGAGAGGGCGACCGGCCACACGGGGACUGAGCCACGGCCCAGACUCCUACGGGAGGCAGCAGUGGGUAAUAUUGCUCAAUGGGCGGAAGCCUGAUGCAGCAACGCCGCGUGAGGGAUGACGGCCUUCGGGUUGUAAACCUCUUUUAGCAGGGAAGAAGCGAAAGUGACGGUACCUGCAGAAAAAGCACCGGCUAACUACGUGCCAGCAGCCGCCGUAA
This 484-nucleotide ribosomal RNA is filed under the name uncultured bacterium. RNAcentral's name for it is "partial 16S ribosomal RNA". It matches the Rfam family "Bacterial small subunit ribosomal RNA", at positions 28 to 523 of the family's 1533-position model. The record is from RNAcentral.